This 479-nucleotide ribosomal RNA is filed under the name uncultured bacterium. RNAcentral's name for it is "partial 16S ribosomal RNA". It matches the Rfam family "Bacterial small subunit ribosomal RNA", at positions 29 to 523 of the family's 1533-position model. The record is from RNAcentral.
AACAAACGCUGGCGGCGUGCCUAAUACAUGCAAGUCGAACGGGGAAAGCUUUCGGGUGAGUACUAGUGGCGCACGGGUGAGUAACGCGUGGAUAAUCUGCCCUCGAAUGGGGAAUAACUAGUCGAAAGAUUAGCUAAUACCGCAUAAGACCACGACUACUGAGGUAGUUGGGGUCAAAGGAGCAAUUCGUUUGAGGAUGAGUCCGCGUAAGAUUAGCUAGUUGGUGAGGUAAUGGCUCACCAAGGCGAUGAUCUUUAACUGGUCUGAGAGGAUGAUCAGGCACACUGGAACUGAGAUACGGUCCAGACUCCUACGGGAGGCAGCAGUAGGGAAUAUUGGUCAAUGGGGGCAACCCUGAUCCAGCGACGCCGCGUGAGCGAUGAAGGCCUUCGGGUCGUAAAGCUCUGUUGUAAGGGAAAAAGUUCUGAUUGUACCUUACGAGAAAGGAUCGGCUAACUUCGUGCCAGCCGCCGCGGUAA